UUUCCUCUCGCUCAAAUUGCAAAUCAAAUUGCAGGAGUAAAGUCCUGCGUCUCCUCUAUCUCUUCCCUCUUGCUCAUCUCUCCUCUUCGCAACCUUGAUCCCCAAAUCUUUAACCCAGACUUGUCUUCCUUCUCUCUUUCCCAUAGACUUCUCUCUUCCUUCUCGUUCUAAACGACGGGUAGCCACACGAAUCUCGAAGCCGACGGGAAUCAAGUCCCAAAAUCAAGGACCAGAAUGUGAACUAAUUGGGAUUAUUGGUCAAUCUACAUUCUACAGAGACUGGUGAAGUUUACACUUGGGGUUGGAAAGAGUGUGUUCCCUCUGGGAAUCUUAUCGGUGACCUGGGUAUGGUGGAACAUCUCCAAAAGGAUACUACAGGGAAUCAAAGUUCAUUACCAGCUGAACAAGGUAUUUCUGUAACCUGGGUAUAUUUGGAAAAACAUGCACGGAGGCCUUUUCGAUUGUACUAGAUCAAUGUGAUUAAGACCUUAUUGUCUUAUACAGCCAUUGUAUAGCCAUUUAGCACAAUUUCAAUUAUUUUGAAUCAUAAUUUGUGAUUGUAUA
Molecule: long non-coding RNA, 564 nt
Organism: Pyrus x bretschneideri (Chinese white pear)
Lineage: Eukaryota; Viridiplantae; Streptophyta; Magnoliopsida; Rosales; Rosaceae
Exons: 2
Source: RefSeq, a predicted model, not a curated record